UUUCCUCUUUCUGCAUUAUUAUAAGGUAUGUUCCUAUCAGUUUAAUCCCUGUUAUGUCCCCUAUCAGGGGACGUGUAUAUGUCAUCGAUUUUAGGAAGAGGGAGAUGGAAAAAGAUUGGUCGGUCCUCCUACUUCAAAUUUGGGGCACUGCGCGUGCCACCAGAUAAUGUGC
Pelobates cultripes (western spadefoot toad) is the source of this 172-nucleotide non-coding RNA. Lineage: Eukaryota; Metazoa; Chordata; Amphibia; Anura; Pelobatidae. The record is from the annotation of a GenBank genome assembly.